Molecule: ribosomal RNA, 421 nt
Filed under: Rhinella merianae group sp. ABGD cluster 39
Lineage: Eukaryota; Metazoa; Chordata; Amphibia; Anura; Bufonidae
Description: partial large subunit ribosomal RNA
Rfam family: Bacterial large subunit ribosomal RNA
Source: RNAcentral
CUUGAUUCGUUAUAAGAGGUCCAGCCUGCCCAGUGACCAUGUUCAACGGCCGCGGUAUCCUAACCGUGCGAAGGUAGCGUAAUCACUUGUUCUUUAAAUGUGGACUAGUAUGAACGGCAUCACGAAGGUUAUACUGUCUCCUUUUUCUAAUCAGUGAAACUAAUCUCCCCGUGAAGAAGCGUGGAUAAAAUUAUAAGACGAGAAGACCCUAUGGAGCUUUAAACAACACAGCACUUACCUGAGAACCUUGAAUGUUUCUUUAACACUAACUCUUAGAGUAAGAUGACCGUAAGUUUUUGGUUGGGGUGACCACGGAGUAUAUCAUAACCUCCAUGUUGAAAGAAUUUUUCUAAGCCAAGAACAACCUAUCUAAGCAUUAAUAAAUUAACAUCUAUUGACCCAAUAAAUUUGACCAACGAAC